UCGAGCGAGUCUGCCUUGAAGAUCGGAGUGCUUGCACUCUGUGAAACAAGAUACAGGCUAGCGGCGGACGGGUGAGUAACACGUGGGUAACCUGCCCAAGAGAUCGGGAUAACACCUGGAAACAGAUGCUAAUACCGGAUAACAACAGAUGAUGCCUAUCAACUGUUUAAAAGAUGGUUCUGCUAUCACUCUUGGAUGGACCUGCGGUGCAUUAGCUAGUUGGUAGGGUAACGGCCUACCAAGGCGAUGAUGCAUAGCCGAGUUGAGAGACUGAUCGGCCACAUUGGGACUGAGACACGGCCCAAACUCCUACGGGAGGCAGCAGUAGGGAAUCUUCCACAAUGGACGCAAGUCUGAUGGAGCAACGCCGCGUGAGUGAAGAAGGGUUUCGGCUCGUAAAGCUCUGUUGUUGGUGAAGAAGGACAGGGGUAGUAACUGACCUUUGUUUGACGGUAAUCAAUUAGAAAGUCACGGCUAACUACGUGCCAGCAGCCGCGGUAAUACGUAGGUGGCAAGCGUUGUCCGGAUUUAUUGGGCGUAAAGCGAGUGCAGGCGGCUCGAUAAGUCUGAUGUGAAAGCCUUCGGCUCAACCGGAGAAUUGCAUCAGAAACUGUCGAGCUUGAGUACAGAAGAGGAGAGUGGAACUCCAUGUGUAGCGGUGAAAUGCGUAGAUAUAUGGAAGAACACCGGUGGCGAAGGCGGCUCUCUGGUCUGUUACUGACGCUGAGGCUCGAAAGCAUGGGUAGCGAACAGGAUUAGAUACCCUGGUAGUCCAUGCCGUAAACGAUGAGUGCUAAGUGUUGGGAGGUUUCCGCCUCUCAGUGCUGCAGCUAACGCAUUAAGCACUCCGCCUGGGGAGUACGACCGCAAGGUUGA
This 876-nucleotide ribosomal RNA is filed under the name uncultured bacterium. Its description in RNAcentral is "bacterial SSU rRNA". It matches the Rfam family "Bacterial small subunit ribosomal RNA", at positions 62 to 897 of the family's 1533-position model. The record is from RNAcentral.